RNAcentral lists this ribosomal RNA (311 nucleotides) under Corbicula fluminea. RNAcentral's name for it is "eukaryotic LSU rRNA". It matches the Rfam family "Eukaryotic large subunit ribosomal RNA", at positions 666 to 946 of the family's 3401-position model. Lineage: Eukaryota; Metazoa; Mollusca; Bivalvia; Venerida; Cyrenidae. The record is from RNAcentral.
CCAAGGAGUCUAACAUGUGCGCGAGUCAUGGGGUCCGUACGAAACCCAAAGGCGCAAUGAAAGUGAAGGCCUCCUCCGGAUGGCCCAGGCAAGAUCCCGGCCCCGCGCGGGCUGGGCGCACUGCCGGCCCGUCUCGGCGGCAUCGUCCGCGAGGCGGAGCAAGAGCGCACACGUUGGGACCCGAAAGAUGGUGAACUAUGUCCGAGUAGGACGAAGUCAGGGGAAACUCUGAUGGAGGUCCGCAGCGAUUCUGACGUGCAAAUCGAUCGUCAAACUUGGAUAUAGGGGCGAAAGACUAAUCGAACCAUCUA